CAAAGAUUUUUCUUCUCUUCUGUGUUUGCAACAAAGGUGUGGAGAGGUAUGAACAUGAAUCUGUAACACUAUUUUCUUUCCGGUGCUUAACUUUUAAUGCUUUGUACAAUUAUUGUGUGCAUUGCAAUCUUGAUAAUAUCUAUCUUCAGUCUUCAUGGUUUUCAAUGUCUGUAUUUAUUCAGCAUACAUUUUUUUGUUACGCCUGUGUAAAAACACUGAAGGAUCAUAUGUACUUUCUAUUUCUUUCUACAUGAUGUCAACUGGAAAAUCCGUCAACUGGAAGGACAUCCAUCGCCACGCCGACGUCAACUGUUCUCCAUCAACUGGAAGGGAAAUCCAGCAAAGGUCCCUUUUAAUGUUAUUGCAGACCAUUCCAUUGAAAUGUAUAAAUCCAGCUUUCUUGUUUGUUUUAUAGCAUAUUUUACCAUAUUUAUGUGAAUGGCGGGGCAGGCCCCUACAUGUAUUUCUAGCAAUCAAGCAGUUUCCUAAUUUUGCAUCUAUGUUUUUUUAUCAUUUUAACUAAUUUUAUUCCCAUUUAUAUCUUGCUUAUACAACAUCCAAUUUUCUUUUCUAGAACUAGAAUAGAUUGAUGUGAAGGGGAAAGAAUAGAAGGAGAAGCUUAACUUGUAUAUUAAGAGGAAAGAUAGAACAGUGUACAACAGAGCAUCAACUGAUUUGUGGAACAAUUUUGUCUUCAUUGUGAUCUUCUUCGUCAUUGCAUAAUCUGUAGAUGCUGUAAGCGUAGUUAAACUUUAUUCCAUGCCCAAGUUGUUGCUUAUGUCGUUAAGUUCUUGAGAAACUCAACUGAUUAGAUUGAAAUUAUGCGGAUUGUUUCAGCUGUAUAUCCUUUUGUAGCAGUACAUGGAAAAAUAAU
This 874-nucleotide long non-coding RNA is filed under the name Zea mays. RNAcentral's name for it is "long non-coding RNA (ZMAY_LNC002965)". The record is from RNAcentral. Lineage: Eukaryota; Viridiplantae; Streptophyta; Magnoliopsida; Poales; Poaceae.